Molecule: ribosomal RNA, 468 nt
Filed under: uncultured bacterium
Lineage: Bacteria
Description: partial 16S ribosomal RNA
Rfam family: Bacterial small subunit ribosomal RNA
Source: RNAcentral
AUUGAACGCUGGCGGCGUGCCUAACACAUGCAAGUCGAGCGAUUCUCUUCGGAGAAGAGCGGCGGACGGGUGAGUAACGCGUGGGUAACCUGCCCUGUACACACGGAUAACAUACCGAAAGGUAUGCUAAUACGAGAUAAUAUGCUUUUAUCGCAUGGUAGAAGUAUCAAAGCUUUUGCGGUACAGGAUGGACCCGCGUCUGAUUAGCUAGUUGGUAAGGUAACGGCUUACCAAGGCGACGAUCAGUAGCCGACCUGAGAGGGUGAUCGGCCACAUUGGAACUGAGACACGGUCCAAACUCCUACGGGAGGCAGCAGUGGGGAAUAUUGCACAAUGGGCGAAAGCCUGAUGCAGCAACGCCGCGUGAGCGAUGAAGGCCUUCGGGUCGUAAAGCUCUGUCCUCAAGGAAGAUAAUGACGGUACUUGAGGAGGAAGCCCCGGCUAACUACGUGCCAGCAGCCGCGGUAA